Molecule: ribosomal RNA, 253 nt
Filed under: uncultured bacterium
Lineage: Bacteria
Description: partial 16S ribosomal RNA
Rfam family: Bacterial small subunit ribosomal RNA
Source: RNAcentral
GACGGAAGGUGCAAGCGUUGCUCGGAAUCACUGGGCGUAAAGGGUGCGUAGGCGGCCGUGCAAGUCUGGCGUGAAAGCCCCGGGCUCAGCCCGGGAAGUGCGCUCGAAACUGCGCGGCUCGAGUGCCGGAGGGGAGAGUGGAAUUCCUGGUGUAGCGGUGAAAUGCGUAGAUAUCAGGAGGAAUACCGGUGGCGAAAGCGACUCUCUGGACGGCAACUUACGCUGAGGCACGAAAGCGUGGGGAGCAAACAGG